ACAAUUUUAUUGAUGGUACUUUACAUACUAUUCUGUUACACCCUAGUACGUUGUGAGUUUCUGUGGACAUUUGCACUAAGGAUAAUGCCAAGUUACCGAUACCUCUUAAUGAUGAUAUUGUAUUGGUCAGAGAUGCUGAGGGAACUUUUGUUGAAUGGCUUUUAUAUCUCAUUGAGUCAUUUGAUAAGACUCAGUCAAAAUCAAAAAACAAAAAAAUCAUUGAAGCGCAUGGUAAUAUUUCUAAGGAAUCUAAUAUCAUGCAUAAACAAAAAAGUGUAUCUCAUGGAGCUUCAAAAAUGCAAAGAGCUAAUAAUUGUCAUGAAGUUCUUUGGUCUCUUUUGCCAAAGGUUAUUGCUAAUAGCCAAACACUUGAAAUAAAUUUUGAAAGAGAAAUCUAUUGUAAAGACAGUUGGAAAUAUCAUAGAAAUACUAUUUUGGAGAUACUUGAUCGAGAAUGGGCAAGUACUUUUGCUAUCAAUACUUGAAUAAGGGCUUUAAACAGCUUUCAUGAUCACAAAGAGCUCCCCUUUUCUAGAAAUAAAUAUUUCUCAAAGAGUUAUCAACGGAUAAA
Molecule: long non-coding RNA, 571 nt
Organism: Prosopis cineraria
Lineage: Eukaryota; Viridiplantae; Streptophyta; Magnoliopsida; Fabales; Fabaceae
Exons: 3
Source: RefSeq, a predicted model, not a curated record